Molecule: ribosomal RNA, 422 nt
Filed under: uncultured bacterium
Lineage: Bacteria
Description: bacterial SSU rRNA
Rfam family: Bacterial small subunit ribosomal RNA
Source: RNAcentral
UAAGGAAUAUUGGUCAAUGGAGGCAACUCUGAACCAGCCAUGCCGCGUGAAGGAUUAAGGCCCUCUGGGUUGUAAACUUCUUUUAUAUGGGAAGAAAUGUUCUGAUUCUUCAGAGCUUGACGGUACCAUAGGAAUAAGCACCGGCUAACUCCGUGCCAGCAGCCGCGGUAAUACGAAGGGUGCAAGCGUUACUCGGAAUUACUGGGCGUAAAGCGUGCGUAGGUGGUUGUUUAAGUCUGAUGUGAAAGCCCUGGGCUCAACCUGGGAAUGGCAUUGGAAACUGGGCAGCUAGAGUGCGGUAGAGGGUAGUGGAAUUCCCGGUGUAGCAGUGAAAUGCGUAGAGAUCGGGAGGAACAUCUGUGGCGAAGGCGACUGCCUGGACCAGCACUGACACUGAGGCACGAAAGCGUGGGGAGCAAACA